GUGAGAGAGGGAGGCGACGGCACACGAGAGAAACGAGCGCAUCCUCUGAAUUCCGGUCACUUUCUGCCCGUAGGUGUGUAACGUUAGUUUUGUGUGUACCUGCUCGGUGUGAACGGACGGAGGGCGACGCAGCUGUCUGUUCUUUUAUUGACGCUCAGCAACAGGGCAGAGACCAGGAUGCCGCUGACCGGAGCAGCAGCGUGGCGUACGGGGAGCUCCCGCGACUAGCAGCCCCUGCUCACCGCCACCGCGGGAACAAACCGGAGAGGAGAAUAUGCAAAUGGUUCGAGAGGAAAGAAGUCAACCCGAAUGGAAACGAUGUAGCUUCACCGCCGCACUUCAUAUAGCUCGGAGAAAUAGGGUAGAAAAUAGAUAGCUAGCUAGCUAACGCGCUUAAUUGCCGUCAUACAUGCAAAGUUACUCAUUGCCAGUGAAGCUCCAGGAGCCUGUGGUUGGCUGAAUCAAGAGGAACAGCAGCAGUUUUACGGCGUCUUCAGGUACCAAAGAAGACAGAGGAGUCCAAUAUGCUACGGAGGAGGCUCAAUCUUCUGUUUGGCGGGGAUGAAAAAAGAGUGGACAGCAGGACCAUCUAUGUAGGACAUCGUCCUGGUCCGGCCACUGAGGCCUUUAUCCCACCCAAAUUUUGUGACAACAGGAUAGUGUCUUCCAAGUACACUGUAUGGAACUUUCUGCCAAAGAACCUGUUUGAGCAGUUCAGAAGAAUCGCCAAUUUUUAUUUCCUUAUUAUUUUCCUGGUGCAGGUUAUUGUGGACACCCCGACAAGCCCUGUGACCAGUGGCUUACCCUUGUUUUUUGUCAUCACAGUGACGGCCAUCAAACAGGGUUAUGAGGACUGGCUGCGGCAUAAAGCGGAUAACGAGGUGAAUAAGUACCCAGUGAUAGUGCUGGAGGAUGGACGCAAAGAGAGUGAAAAAAUCAAGGUGGGUGAUAUAGUAGAAGUGAUGGAGGAUGAGACCUUUCCCUGUGACCUUAUUCUGCUGCAGUCCAGUCGAGAUGAUGACACUUGCUUCGUCACCACAGCCAGUCUGGACGGGGAGUCUAACCAUAAAACACACUACACAGUACCAGAUACAGAAAAGGACCUGCAGUCUCUCUCUGCCACCAUCGAGUGUGAACAGCCCCAGCCUGACCUCUACAAGUUUGUGGGCCGGAUGUAUAUUUACAAGACGGGGCAGGAUCCAGCAGUAAGAUCUUUGGGCCCAGAGAACCUGCUUCUGAAAGGGGCAACCUUAAAAAACACCAAGAAGAUUUAUGGUGUAGCAGUAUACACAGGCAUGGAGACAAAGAUGGCUCUCAACUACCAGGGGAAGUCUCAAAAACGCUCAGCCGUGGAGAAAUCUAUCAAUGCCUUCCUGCUGGUAUAUUUAUGCAUCCUGAUAAGCAAAGCAGUGGUGUGCACCACCCUGAAGUAUGUUUGGCAGAGCCAGUUUGGGCAAGAUGAACCUUGGUACAACCAGAAAACUCAGAAGGAGAAGGACACUUAUGUGUAUCUGAAGAUGUUUACAGACUUCCUCUCCUUCAUGGUGCUGUUCAAUUUCAUCAUUCCUGUGUCCAUGUAUGUCACCGUGGAAAUGCAGAAGUUUCUGGGUUCUUUCUUUAUCACUUGGGAUAAAGACUUCUUUGACCCGGAGAUCCAGGAGGGGGCUCUGGUCAACACAUCUGACCUCAAUGAGGAGCUUGGUCAGGUGGAGUAUGUCUUCACAGACAAGACCGGCACACUGACACAGAACAACAUGGAGUUCAUCGAGUGCUGUAUAGAUGGCUUCCAGUACAAGAACACAGACUCCAUGAGUGAGCUGGAUGGGUUCUGUGUCACUGAUGGGCCUGUCAGCAAGCUGCAGCAGAAGGCUGGCCUGGAAAAAGAGGAGCUUUUCCUUCGGGCUCUCUGCUUGUGUCACACGGUGCAAGUGAAGGAGGCAGGGCCAGAUGAGAUUGAUGAGAUUGAUGGGGUUCAGGUGGAUGGACUGGCGGCUGGACUCUCCCAGCCAGAUGAAGAGAGAGGCUUCAUUGCCUCCUCCCCGGAUGAGGUUGCUCUGGUCAAAGGAGCCAUGAAACAUGGCUUCACUUUCCUGGGUUUGGAAAACAAAACUAUGAAGAUAAGGAACUGGCAGAACGAUACUGAAAUAUACGAGUUGCUUCAUGUGCUCAACUUUGACCCUGUACGACGAAGAAUGAGUGUCAUAGUCAGGAACAAGUCAGGGGAAACUCUGCUCUUCUGCAAAGGGGCCGAUUCCUCCAUCUUCCCCAGAGUCAGACCUGAGGAAGUGGACAGAAUCCGUAUGCAUGUUGAGCGCAAUGCUACGGAUGGCUACAGGACCCUGUGUGUGGCCUAUAAGCAGCUCAGCCCAGAGGAAUAUGCUGUGGCAGACGCUGGACUGAGGGAUGCCCGUCUGGCUCUGCAGGACCGGGAGGAGAAGCUUAUGGUUGUUUAUAACCAGGUGGAGACUGAAAUGAGUCUGAUUGGAGCUACUGCAGUGGAGGACAGGUUGCAGGAGGAGGCUGCAGAGACCAUGGAGGCUCUGCAGGGAGCUGGGAUGAAGGUAUGGGUGCUCACUGGAGACAAGAUGGAGACGGCCAAGUCCACAUGUUAUGCCUGCCGCCUGUUUCAGCGUGGCACGGAGUUACUGGAACUGACUGUGCGUACACUUGAAGAUGGAGGGAGGAAGCGUGAAGAGAGGCUUCAUGAGCUGCUGCUAGACUACCAUAAGAAAGCUGUGCAGGAUGCACCACCAGUUAAAGCUGGGGUCACUAGGAGCUGGUCCAAUUCGAAUCAGGAAUAUGGCUUCAUCAUAGACGGAGCCACAUUGUCUUUAGUGAUGAACCCAUCUCCUGAUGCAAAUUCCAGCCGCUACAAGAACCUCUUCCUGCAAAUCUGCCAGAACUGCACUGCUGUGCUCUGCUGCCGCAUGGCUCCGUUGCAGAAGGCUCAGAUAGUGAAACUGGUGAAGAACUCUAAAGGCUCUCCCAUCACAUUGUCUAUUGGUGAUGGGGCCAAUGAUGUCAGUAUGAUCCUGGAGGCACAUGUGGGCAUUGGAAUAAAAGGUAAAGAGGGCCGCCAAGCAGUGAGGAACAGUGACUACGCCAUCCCCAAACUCAAGCACUUAAAGAAGCUUCUGCUGGCACAUGGACACCUCUACUAUGUGCGCAUUGCCCACCUUGUCCAGUACUUCUUCUACAAGAACCUUUGUUUCAUCUUACCUCAGUUCCUGUACCAGUUCUUCUGUGGUUACUCUCAGCAGCCCCUGUACGAUGCAGCCUAUCUGACGAUGUACAACAUCUGCUUCACCUCUAUGCCCAUCCUGGCCUACAGCCUGCUGGAGCAGCACAUAGCCAUCGAGAUCCUGCUUGACAAUGCCACCCUCUACAGGGAGAUAGCAAAGAAUGCUAUGUUGCGAUGGGGUCCCUUCCUAUACUGGACUGUGUUGGGGAUUUACCAGGGACUUCUCUUCUUCUUUGGUGUCAGAUAUCUGUUCAGCAACCCAGCGCUGCAGGACAACGGCCAGGUGUUUGGAAAUUGGUCUUAUGGAACAAUAGUUUUUACAGUCCUUGUUUUCACUGUCACACUAAAGCUGGCUUUGGACACACGCCACUGGACAUGGAUCAACCACUUUGUGAUCUGGGGCUCACUGGCCUUCUAUGUGUUCUUUAGCUUCUUCUGGGGAGGCAUCAUAUGGCCAUUCCUGAGACAACAACGGCUGUACUUUGUCUUUGCUAACAUGCUGAGCUCUGUGUCAGCCUGGUUGGUCAUCAUCCUGCUCAUCCUCCUCAGUCUUUUGCCUGACAUCCUCUUGGUGGUCCUCCGCAAGCCCAGAGGCCCUCAUGCUCGAAAGAUGAAGCGGCGGCUUCCUUCCUCUGGGACUUCCACUAUCUUCAUGCUGUCGCAGACUACCAGCACUCACAGCUUUUCCUGGAGUGACUGAGGGAGGUGCAUACAUCUCUGUCAGGGUCUGUCAGAGGCCUCUCUCAUUCACACGGCCAGAUUGCUGCCGUCACCCCAUUGUCCUACAAGCAUCUGAAAGAGCGCUACUGAAGGACAGCCCAGCCUGGGGUGGAACCUGCUGAAAGGACUGUGAGUGUCAGCCAAGCUGGCUGCCUUUCCUGCUGCCUGGACAGGAAAAUCAAAAAAAUGAGAACAACCUAACUGAACAUUGGGGAAUGAAAAAGAGGAGAACAAAAAAAGCUACUUAGUCCAGGCCAAGAUCCAGCAGUGUGCCAGCCCUCUGUCUUUUUUUUUCCCCCACCCUGUUGCUCGCUCUCUUUCUUCUUCAUCCUUCCCUCUCUCUGUAGCAUGACUUCACCCAAGCAUACUGUGCCGCUGGUCCUUGCAGCAUGUGGCAUUUUUUGACCUUUUACUUUUCAUGACCCAUCCAUUGUCAAGGCAUGUGAUAAAACCUCCUCCCGUAGUUAGCCUGCUGCAAAUGUUGCUUCCUGAGGCAAAUCCAUGGUGAUGGGAUGUUCUGAUUUUCUUUACAUUCUCUGUAGUUCCUCAGUGGUUCUCCUGCAUGAGAGAAGCUAGAGGAACUCAUACCAAUUCUGCUGUUCCUCUGUCAUCGUAGCAGUUUUUGUUCCAGGUUUCUUUGAUAGAAAUAGUUCUUCCCUUUGUGAUCUGAAAUGCCCCAGGCCCAAAUCAUAGUCUAGAAUUAGAGUUUGAGCUUUUAAUUUUAAGCUCUAUAACAUGCUGCACUGACAGCUCUGACCCUAUGGGUAUAAUAAGCUGCCUUUCAGCAACUUGCUGUAUGUCCAAGUCUGUUGAGCGCUGGGUUUGGACGUUUUCACCUGUCGUGCAUGUUUGCGUGAGAAGAAGGUCUGGCCAUGAGUUUGUGUCUUUUCUUUAGUUCACAUUAGAAUUUUGUAUUAAUUUAACUUUCUGAUGAUGCAGGGAUUACUUCGACAUCAGAUUAGUGAUUAUGAAUUAGAUGUGUAUAUUCUGUGCUGUUUGCUGGAAGCCAAAAAAACUUUUUUUGCAGCAUAUCCAGUCCUGCUAAGUGUAAUGUGUUUGUAUGGAGAUGCUCAGUGAUGGAGGUUUGGUCUCCUUUGCUGAAUGUUAGUACACUGCUGAGUCUGAGAUUAACCUGUUUGUGAUACAGGUGAUAUGUCUAGUCUCUGUACUGGCAUUUACACAUAUAUUAUUUAUAUCACUUGAUGUUUUGUCCCUCUUUGGGCCCAUUUGGGCCAGUGCUCACUGUUGAAGGCACAUGUAUACAGCAUGCACUUAAGCACGCAUAGAACGCACACUGCUUCUUUGAGGCAACUGCUCAUAUCAUUGUUUGAGUCAAAGAAAUGGUGGGGGGAGGGGGACUGUGGUGACAUACAAAGUGCCAACUCCAGAGCUCCUGGACACCUGAGUUAGUGCCACUGUGAGGCAUUUUUGCCCUCCGUUAAUACCAACAUGGUUGGUACUGCGGUUAGAAUUGCAUUCGUCUUUACCCCCUUCUUUUUUUUCUUUACUCUUUCUUGCUUCUUCAUACAUUCCAUUUCUACAUGCCAACAUUUCAAUCACUUUCUAGAUCAUUACUGAUUUUUUUUUUUUUCCCCCCUAACUGUGUGAUUCUAUUUGACAUAUUUAUUGUAAUGUGUAAUUUUAGUCACAAAAGUUAUAUUUUUAUGACAUGGAUCUUUUUUAUUGUUGAGAAUGAUCAGCUUGUGCCAAUUGAGUUUUGUCUAUGUAAUCCCUGAUGCUCGGCGAUCGAAUCUGCUCCCACUGAGGGCCUGAACUGCUCUUAGAUCACUAUUUCACAUGCCACUCAGCUGGUUUAAGGCUGGAAUGGUGCAUGCUGUCUGAUCUCAGUAAUAAUCCCUUUAAUGAAUGCUGUUUGACCAUUUCAGUUUAUUUAUACGCUACUAGCCAAAAGUAGGCAUGAAGAAAUCAGAUUUUGGCAUGUUUUUUGAAUGGUUUUCACAAGACAUUUAACCAUUUGGAUCUGAAAGGCAUUGCGGUCUGUUCCAACUUAAACCGCAUGGGCUGUGUGUCUGUGUGUGUGGGUAGCUGUGGGAGCAGUGGUUUGUUAGACCUUUGACUGUGUAAUGAUGCCAAGCAUCUUAAGCCCUAUGCUGUUUCCCUAUGAGCACUCUCAAAUUCUAUCAUGAAUCAUUAUUUUCAGAUGAGAAUAUAGAUAAAAGCUCCAUAAUUGUAUUUUUAUUGAUCUCUGUAAAAGAUUUAUUGAGAAUUGUCUGGGAUAGAUUACCCAACUGUAUGGAUAUUAUCCCCCCCUUUUUUUUCUUUCUCUUUUUUCCCCCCUCAUGUUCUAAAGCGUGGCAACGCCAUCAUUAACCUGAGCCAUGGUGCGCAUGCACACACAUGCAUAUAGCCUGAGGCGCUGAUGUGUGUAUGUUCAGCUCAGAAAGGGGAGGGGUGAAUGGGACCUGCCUGCAGUAUUUCAAUACCCAAAACAGACCUUUAAAUCAGAGAUGCUAUUUUCAAAGCUUAUGAUAAUUCUUGAUUUCUUCUGUUUGCCUGAACAACACAGAAAAGAAAAAAAGUUGAUUGUAUUUUUAAUGCAACCUUUUUUCGAGCCACUGUUUUGUAAGAAAAUGAAAACGUCCAAAAAAAAAGGUGCAUUAGGCUGCCUGAGCGUGGAGGGUGGGGCAGUGUCAGGGCGGUGCUGUAAACACUCGGCCUGUGUCAGGACCCUCUGCCCGGAUCCUCAGGCUCCGGCCUUCUGACCUGAAUGUACCUCUUUAAGACCAGUCUGUUCCAAACAAGAAAAUUCUUUAUGUAAUAAAACAAUUUUCAAACAAAGA
Molecule: RNA transcript, 6762 nt
Organism: Pygocentrus nattereri (red-bellied piranha)
Lineage: Eukaryota; Metazoa; Chordata; Actinopteri; Characiformes; Serrasalmidae
Gene: atp11c
Gene name: ATPase phospholipid transporting 11C
Exons: 32
Source: RefSeq, a predicted model, not a curated record